Long non-coding RNA from Daphnia pulex (common water flea), 263 nucleotides. RefSeq lists it as uncharacterized. The transcript is spliced from 2 exons. Lineage: Eukaryota; Metazoa; Arthropoda; Branchiopoda; Diplostraca; Daphniidae. The record is from RefSeq and is a predicted model, not a curated record.
AAGGUCACUGAGAUCAUUACGUAAAACUGUCAAUGUUGUGGUGUAGAGGUUGGCAACGUCAACCUGCGGGAGGAAAGGCCAGUUUGUACGUCAUUCAACCGAAGGUCACGGAGAUCAUUACAUAGAAUUGGUAAAACUUUCUUGCAGUGGUGUAGAGGUUGGGUGAGAACGACACGUGUUGCAACAUUAUCAAGUAGGUCUACAAUUGCCGCAAGGCUUGAGUUGAGAGGUAAGGGUGAGAAAAAGUCGUAUAAAAGGAGAGA